Molecule: long non-coding RNA, 1087 nt
Filed under: Ananas comosus (pineapple)
Lineage: Eukaryota; Viridiplantae; Streptophyta; Magnoliopsida; Poales; Bromeliaceae
Description: long non-coding RNA (ACOM_LNC008114)
Source: RNAcentral
CUACCUACCACCUCGUCACCAAACCCUACCCCGAAACGAGGAAAAAUUCUAGAAUGCAACGGAUAUAUUGGUGACGCGGCGUAACAAACCAAUCAAAUAUCUCCUUUUAGGGAUAUAUGUGCCAUCAUAAUUAUAAAAAAAUAUUUUUAUUAUAUUUUUAUUUGAAAAGAAGAAAUAUGAUUGACUUGUUAUAGAUGAUAUGGUGUAAGUGUGACAGUCUAGAAUUCCUCCGAAAUGAGGGUCCUUCAGUGUAACGCUUCUACACACUAAAUAUCAAAUAGCUCUUCUAACAUGUGGGACCCAUCCACUAGAGAAGUUUAUCACAUGCACCCGGUGCAUGAUGCACUGCACAUCUAGAGAAGUUUACCAACCGUCCCUAGCGUAAGUAGCAAAGAAUUUGAUAGUUGGUAUCCGUAAUUCAAAGUUAUACACUUUGCCGAUAAAUUAGAUUGAUUAUAUCAAAAAAUCUACUCUGUAAAUUAUCAUCAAUUUCAAUAUCUAAAAUUCUAUUAGAAAAUAUUAAAAUCAGAUUCUAACUCAUCAAUAUAUUCCAUUGCAUUCAAAAAGGUAAAGCUUUACAUAUAAACAAUUAUAUAUUCAAGACAAAUAUUUAUAUUUUAUCAAACUGAGUUAUAAAAAACUUGUGAUUCUUUUAUAUAAGCCAUUUUAUUAUUAUAGAUCACGUAUGUAGUAUAAGAUUGCUACAUUUUUAGAUAUUUAUUUAAGAAAAAAAUUAAAAUAUCACCCCUGUAAUUUCGCACUUUCUUACUUUACUAUUCUAUGGUCUAAGAUGUAUCAAUUUGGUAUCCUAUGGUUUUAUUUUUUAUUUUUUUUAUCAGUUUCACUAAUUUUUUUCUUUAAAUCGGUGACAUAAUUAAAACUAAAGAAUACUAAGUGAAUAUUCGAUAAACCUACAUGAGAUAUAUAAAAUUUUUCGUACAUAUUUUAACAAAAUAUUAACGAAUAAGCUGAUGAAAAAAUUAAAAUAAAAUUAUAGGGUACUAACUUGAUACAUUUUAAAUUAUAAAAUACUAAAAUGGAAAAGUGCGAAACCACUGUGAUGGUAUUUAAAGUUUAAUUCUUUAUU